GCCCCCGUAGCCCAAUCGGCAGAGGCAGCGCUCUUAAAAAGCGCCGAGUGUGGGUUCGAGCCCCACCGGGGGCA
RNAcentral lists this transfer RNA (74 nucleotides) under Motilibacter deserti. RNAcentral describes it as "tRNA-Leu". It matches the Rfam family "tRNA". From Rfam's summary of the family: Transfer RNA (tRNA) molecules are approximately 80 nucleotides in length. Their secondary structure includes four short double-helical elements and three loops (D, anti-codon, and T loops). The record is from RNAcentral. Lineage: Bacteria; Bacillati; Actinomycetota; Actinomycetes; Motilibacterales; Motilibacteraceae.